Solanum tuberosum (potato) is the source of this 621-nucleotide long non-coding RNA. RefSeq lists it as uncharacterized. The record is from RefSeq and is a predicted model, not a curated record. The transcript has 2 exons. Lineage: Eukaryota; Viridiplantae; Streptophyta; Magnoliopsida; Solanales; Solanaceae.
UCCACACCAGAGUCACAUCUGGAAACAAAUAUUUGUAUUUGACUCAAACCUAUGUGCUCCCAUGAAAGCUUUGGAUCUGCUAUGAUGGUCAAGGAGUUGAGCUUUUUUUUCUAGUCUCAGCUUUGAGGAAAAAUUUAUUCUACGAAACAAUAAGGAUUUGCUAUCUUGAUUUUUUUGUCAAUCUAUGCGGUGAGUGCACUACGAGUGUUCCCCUUUUGGGUGUCGCAGAUCCGAGAGACUUUUGUGCCAAUGAUACAAUUCAUCAUUUUUCUUCUCUGGUACCGAUUUAUCUUGAUUUACUCACUCCCCUAUAACUUAUUUAAUAGAUAUGACAUUGUAGGUUGAAUCUGUGUUGAAGCAUUAGCUCAAUCGUUCACUUGUGUAUUUGAUGUUGGUCUUUAGUUAAAUCCCUCACCUUUGUAUUUUGUCGGUGUAUGACCAUCCGACAAAAAAAAAUUGUACUUGUAGUCUUAUGAUGAUGUGUUCCUCUCCUUCCCUAAUAUUCUGAUUUAUAUUUUUAGUUUUUAUCCUUUUGUUGGACAUUUGUUGCUAGAGAAAAUUCAAAAUAUCUCUGUUUUAUUUGGUAAUGUUAUAAAUGUAGUAAAAAUGAUUAUUUCUUUC